Molecule: long non-coding RNA, 1344 nt
Organism: Aethalodelphis obliquidens (Pacific white-sided dolphin)
Lineage: Eukaryota; Metazoa; Chordata; Mammalia; Artiodactyla; Delphinidae
Exons: 4
Source: RefSeq, a predicted model, not a curated record
AUAACAAACAUGUAGAUACAGAGAACAGAGUAAUGGUUACCAGAGGGGGUGGGGAUGGGUAAAGGGGGUCAAUAUGGUGAUGCGUGGAAAGUAAACUCUUGGUGGUAAGCUGCUGUAGUGGAUACAGAAGUAUAAUGUUGUGCACAAGAAGCUUAUAUAAUGUUAUAAAAUCAAUGUUACCUCAAUAAAAAAAAUUUUUUUAAGAAUUUUCUUUUCAUCAUCUCCCAGACCUACAUGGGCCUUCUUGUCAUUCCUCCCUCCUGCCUGGUACCUUCCCCUGCAUGAUGGCAUGGACAUUCUGGGUACAGUUACCAACCAGGAAUCCAUUAUUAAAUCCUGGACUUAGAAGGAAUCUAAGACAUGUGUAGUUGUCUGUUUCUAUUCAAAUCCUCCGAAAGAAAUUUAAGACUGUCCUCUGGAGGCAGGUGUGCCAAGCAGCGCUCCGCACCGGGGAUGCACCACACUGUGUUUAACCACUCACCCACGGAAAGGCGUCUGGGUUGUUUCCAGUUUGGGGCUAUGAUGAAUAAAACUGCUGUGACAUUUGUGCACAGACUUUCGUAUGAACAUAAGUUUCCUUUUCUCUGGGACAGAUGCCCAAGAGCACAAACCCUCGUCGUAUGUUGUGGCAUGGAUGAUGUUUCCAAGGUACAUCCAUGUAACAUGUAGCAGCAGCCCAUUCCUUUUAAGGCUGAAUGAUAUUCCACUGUACGUAUACAGUCAUCCCUCGGUAUCUGCAGUGGACUGGUUCCAGGACACCCCUCGGCUAGCAAAAUCCAUGAAUGCUCAAGUCCUUCAUAUGGCCUAGCGUUUGCAUAUAACCUACACAACCUCUCAGGUACUUUAAAUCAUCUCUAGGUUACUUAGAAUGCCUAAUACAAUGCCAAUGCUAUAUAAAAAGUUGCCAGGGCGAGGCAAGUUCAAGUGUGGCUUUUUGUAACUUUCUGGAAUCUUUUUUCAAAUAUUUUGGAUCUGCAUUUGUUAAAUCCAGGGAUAUGGAACCCAUAGAUACAGAGUGCUGACUGUAUACCGUGUCUUGUUUAUCCAUUCAUCUGUUGAUGGACAUUAGGUUGUUUCUACCUUUUGGCCAUUGUGAACAAUGCUGCUGUGAACAGUGGUGUACAAAUAUCUAUCUGAGUCCCUGCUUUCAACUAUUUGCGGUAUGCACCUAGAAGCUUAAUUACUGGAUCAUAUUGCAAUCCUAUGUGUAACUGUUUGAAGAACUCCCAAGCUUUUCCACAGUGGCUGCACCAUUUUAUGAUCCCAUCAGCAAUGCAGACAGAUUCGAAUUUCUCCACAUCCUCACCAAUGUUCGUAAUUUUCCUUUUUUUCAAUAAUAUCCAU